GACGAACGCUGGCGGCGUGCUUAACACAUGCAAGUCGAACGCUGAAGCCCUUUCGGGGGUGGAUGAGUGGCGAACGGGUGAGUAACACGUGGGUAAUCUGCCCUGCACUCUGGGAUAAGCCUUGGAAACGGGGUCUAAUACCGGAUAGGACGCAUCGCCGCAUGGUGUGUGUGUGGAAAGUUCCGGCGCGGGAGGUUGAGCCCGCGGCCUAUCAGCUUGUUGGUGGGGUGAUGGCCUACCAAGGCGACGACGGGUAGCCGGCCUGUGAGGGUGACCGGCCACAAUGGGACUGAGACACGGCCCAGACGCCUACGGGCUGCAGCAGUGGGGAAGCUUGCGCAGCGGGCGAAAGCCUGACGCAGCAUCGCCGCGUGGGGGAUGACGGCCUUCGGGUUGUAAACCUCUUUCGACCGUGACGAAUGGUGACUGACGGUACCGGUAGAAGAAGCACCGGCUAACUACGUGCCAGCAGCCGCAGUAA
Molecule: ribosomal RNA, 481 nt
Filed under: uncultured bacterium
Lineage: Bacteria
Description: partial 16S ribosomal RNA
Rfam family: Bacterial small subunit ribosomal RNA
Source: RNAcentral